This 503-nucleotide ribosomal RNA is filed under the name uncultured bacterium. RNAcentral's name for it is "partial 16S ribosomal RNA". It matches the Rfam family "Bacterial small subunit ribosomal RNA", at positions 30 to 523 of the family's 1533-position model. The record is from RNAcentral.
AUUGAACGCUGGCGGCAGGCUUAACACAUGCAAGUCGAGCGGGGUGAUGGUGCUUGCACUAUCACUUAGCGGCGGACGGGUGAGUAAUGCUUAGGAAUCUGCCUAUUAGUGGGGGACAACAUCUCGAAAGGGAUGCUAAUACCGCAUACGUCCCACGGGAGAAAGCAGGGGAUCGCUUGUGACCUUGCGCUAAUAGAUGAGCCUAAGUCGGAUUAGCUAGUUGGUGGGGUAAAGGCCUACCAAGGCGACGAUCUGUAGCGGGUCUGAGAGGAUGAUCCGCCACACUGGGACUGAGACACGGCCCAGACUCCUACGGGAGGCAGCAGUGGGGAAUAUUGGACAAUGGGGGGAACCCUGAUCCAGCCAUGCCGCGUGUGUGAAGAAGGCCUUAUGGUUGUAAAGCACUUUAGGCGAGGAGGAGGCUCUUUUGGUUAAUACCCAAGAUGAGUGGACGUUACCCGCAGAAUAAGCACCGGCUAACUCUGUGCCAGCCGCCGCGGUAA